RNAcentral lists this ribosomal RNA (447 nucleotides) under uncultured bacterium. Its description in RNAcentral is "partial 16S ribosomal RNA". It matches the Rfam family "Bacterial small subunit ribosomal RNA", at positions 328 to 792 of the family's 1533-position model. The record is from RNAcentral.
CGUCCAGACUCCUACGGGAGGCAGCAGUGGGGAAUAUUGCACAAUGGGGGAAACCCUGAUGCAGCGACGCCGCGUGAGCGAAGAAGUACCUCGGUAUGUAAAGCUCUAUCAGCAGGGAAGAAGAUGACGGUACCUGACCAAGAAGCUCCGGCUAAAUACGUGCCAGCAGCCGCGGUAAUACGUAGGGGGCAAGCGUUAUCCGGAUUUACUGGGUGUAAAGGGAGCGUAGACGGCGAUGCAAGUCUGAAGUGAAAGGCGGGGGCCCAACCCCCGGACUGCUUUGGAAACUGUAUGGCUGGAGUGCAGGAGAGGUAAGUGGAAUUCCUGGUGUAGCGGUGAAAUGCGUAGAUAUCAGGAGGAACACCGGCGGCGAAGGCGGCCUGCUGGACUGCGACUGACGUUGAGGCUCGAAAGCGUGGGGAGCGAACAGGAUUAGAUACCCGCGUA